GGUGAGCGGCGGACGGGUUAGUAACGCGUGGGAAUAUAUCCUUUGUUAUGGAAUAUCCUCUGUAAACGGAGAGUAAUACCGUAUGAGCCCUUCUGGGGAAAGAUUUAUCGCCAAAGGAUUAGCCCGCGUUAUAUUAGGUAGUUGGUGGGGUAAUGUGCUACCAAGCCUACGAUCUAUAGCUGGUUUUAUAGGAUGAUCUGCAACACUGGGACUGAGACACGGCCCACACUCUUACGGGAGGCAGCAGUGGGGAAUCUUGUACAAUGGGGGCAACCCUGAUCCCGCCAUGCGGCGUGAGUGAUGAAGGCCUUAGGGUCGUAUAGCUCUUUCGCCUGUGAAGAUAAUGACGGUAGCAGGUAAAGAAACCCCGGCUAACUCUGUGCCAGCAGCCGCGGUAAUACGGAGGGGGUUAGCGUUG
Molecule: ribosomal RNA, 418 nt
Filed under: Ruegeria atlantica
Lineage: Bacteria; Pseudomonadati; Pseudomonadota; Alphaproteobacteria; Rhodobacterales; Roseobacteraceae
Also listed under: 1 other name
Description: bacterial SSU rRNA
Rfam family: Bacterial small subunit ribosomal RNA
Source: RNAcentral